RNAcentral lists this ribosomal RNA (453 nucleotides) under Streptomyces sp. A00036. RNAcentral's name for it is "bacterial SSU rRNA". It matches the Rfam family "Bacterial small subunit ribosomal RNA", at positions 46 to 516 of the family's 1533-position model. Lineage: Bacteria; Bacillati; Actinomycetota; Actinomycetes; Kitasatosporales; Streptomycetaceae. The record is from RNAcentral.
GCUUAACACAUGCAAGUCGAACGAUGAAGCCCUUCGGGGUGGAUUAGUGGCGAACGGGUGAGUAACACGUGGGCAAUCUGCCCUUCACUCUGGGACAAGCCCUGGAAACGGGGUCUAAUACCGGAUAACACUCUGUCCCGCAUGGGACGGGGUUGAAAGCUCCGGCGGUGAAGGAUGAGCCCGCGGCCUAUCAGCUUGUUGGUGGGGUAAUGGCCUACCAAGGCGACGACGGGUAGCCGGCCUGAGAGGGCGACCGGCCACACUGGGACUGAGACACGGCCCAGACUCCUACGGGAGGCAGCAGUGGGGAAUAUUGCACAAUGGGCGAAAGCCUGAUGCAGCGACGCCGCGUGAGGGAUGACGGCCUUCGGGUUGUAAACCUCUUUCAGCAGGGAAGAAGCGAAAGUGACGGUACCUGCAGAAGAAGCGCCGGCUAACUACGUGCCAGCAGCC